UUCUUUGGCCAUGCCACACUGAACAAGCACAAUGUCUGAUCUCAGAAGCUAAGCAGGGUCAGACCUGGUUAGUACUUGGAUGGGAGACCAUCUAGGAAGGUCAAGUGCUAUAAGCA
RNAcentral lists this ribosomal RNA (116 nucleotides) under Pteropus alecto (black flying fox). The record is from RNAcentral. Lineage: Eukaryota; Metazoa; Chordata; Mammalia; Chiroptera; Pteropodidae.